AGCAGCCGCGGUAAUUCCAGCUCCAAUAGCGUAUAUUAAAGUUGUUGCAGUUAAAAAGCUCGUAGUUGAAUUUCGGGAUUGACGUGACGGUCAUGCCUUAAGGGGUAUGAACUGUUACAGUUGAUUUCUCACCUUCUGGAGAAACUUGAUGUCCUUUAUUGGGUGUCUUGCGGAUCCAGGACCUUUACCUUGAAAAAAUUAGAGUGUUUAAAGCAGGCAUUUUUGCUCGAAUACAUUAGCAUGGAAUAAUAGAAUAGGACGGCAUGGUUCUAUUUUGUUGGUUUCUAGGAUCACCGUAAUGAUUAAUAGGGAUAGUUGGGGGCAUUAGUAUUCAAUUGUCAGAGGUGAAAUUCUUGGAUUUAUGAAGACUAACUAC
This 376-nucleotide ribosomal RNA is filed under the name uncultured Entrophospora. RNAcentral describes it as "SSU rRNA". It matches the Rfam family "Eukaryotic small subunit ribosomal RNA", at positions 569 to 943 of the family's 1831-position model. Lineage: Eukaryota; Fungi; Glomeromycota; Glomeromycetes; Entrophosporales; Entrophosporaceae. The record is from RNAcentral.